AACGCACCUUGCGCCCUUUGGCCAUUCCGAAGGGCAUGCCUGUUUGAGUAUCAUGAACACCUCAACUCUCAUGGCUUGCCAUGAUGAGCUUGGACUUUGGGGGUCUUGCCGGCCUGCGGUCGGCUCCUCUCAAAUGAAUCAGCUUGCCAGUGUUUGGUGGCAUCACAGGUGUGAUAACUAAUCUACGCUUGUGGUUCCCCACCAGGUAACCUUCAGUGAUGGAGGUUCGCUGGAGCUCAUAAACGUCUCUCCUCGGUGAGGACAGCUCUUUGAACGUUUGAUCUCAAAUCAGGUAGGACUACCCGCUGAACUUAA
RNAcentral lists this unclassified non-coding RNA (315 nucleotides) under uncultured Tomentella. RNAcentral describes it as "sequence contains ITS2". Lineage: Eukaryota; Fungi; Basidiomycota; Agaricomycetes; Thelephorales; Thelephoraceae. The record is from RNAcentral.